AGAAAGAUAAGCUAAUAAAAGCUAUUAGGUUCAUACCCUAAAUAUAGAAUUAUAUUCUUCUUUCUA
Molecule: transfer RNA, 66 nt
Filed under: Drabescoides nuchalis
Lineage: Eukaryota; Metazoa; Arthropoda; Insecta; Hemiptera; Cicadellidae
Description: tRNA-Met
Source: RNAcentral